This is a long non-coding RNA of Magallana angulata, 2819 nucleotides long. RefSeq lists it as uncharacterized. The transcript has 4 exons. Lineage: Eukaryota; Metazoa; Mollusca; Bivalvia; Ostreida; Ostreidae. The record is from RefSeq and is a predicted model, not a curated record.
GGUUUAACACAAUACAACGUCAUUUCAUACUUACAAUAUCAUCUUUGUUUAUUACAGUAUUUUAUUAUAUUAUAUUCAUGCAUUAUAACGAAUUUUAUCAUUGGUUAUUUUGAUAUCAUGUCUCGAAGUAUAAAAAUGCGGAUUGACCUGUACAUUCUAAAAAUAAGCUUUAAAAACUCGGAUUGACCUGUACUUUCUAAAUAUAGAUAAGGGAAAUUUUGCUCUAAUGUUAAAAUGAAUUUGAUUGGCUGGCGUGAUUCACCCCAACCAAUCAAAAUUCUCUCUGCGUUAACAAACAACAAAGAUGGAAGUUGCAGACGUUAAAGUGAAAGGUCGUUUUGCGAAAAUUAAUGACGCGGAAAUGAAAGUUAUAAUGGAAAAUGUUUAUGCCAGGAACACUAAUACAGGGUAACUGCAACAGCUGUUAAGCUUUUUCUGGAAUAUCUCGAGUCGAAAGGCGAGAGCCGAGACUUCGUAAAUUUCGAGUGCGAAAAGCUAGCUAAAUUUUACAUGGACGCUAGAACGAAGGAUGGAGAUAUGUAAAAAAAGACUUCGAAAAUAAUAUAACGAAUGUAGCCCUUUCGCUCGGUCGAUCCAUAGAUAUAUCGCAUUCACAGAAAAGCAUAUCGACCUCGCACUUCGUGCUCGGUCGAUAUGCUUUUCUGUGAAGUCGAUAUAUCUAUGGAUCUACCUCAUGAAAGGGCUAUAUUUGUAUAGUAUUAUAUGAUAUAUAUUGUAUGAUAGGAUGCAAUAUUUAAUUUUAUAUUCUUAUAUUGACUAACAUAUGAACAUAUGAUUAUCAUAUAAUUUUUUAACAGAUGAUAUAUGAUUUUGUGUCAAAACAGAAUCCAUGAAUAUCCAAGAUCAUAAAGUAUGAUUUUCAUUUAAUAUGAUAAAGGUGGUCUCAUAAAGGUGAUGUCUCAUAAGGGUGAUGUCUCGUCGCGGUGAGCUUUGUAAUCUGUGAUUACCUAUGUUUCUAAUUUCAGGAGAAGUCUCCCUUGAUAAAGUUCAACAAUGGCGGAUAAACAAUGUGGGAUGCUGUCUUGUCAACAACAGUGAAAUUUGACACCUGUAUACCCGUAUUUCUACCAAUUGUCUCAGUCUUCUUUGUUGUGUACAUCAGACAGUUUUUGUCUGAGCAAUUACGUGGCCUUAAAAGGUCUUCUUCUGAGAUUUCCACGAGUUUGAUGUAUAUUCGCUGCGUCGUUUUGACGUCAAAAUUUAAGGUAAAGUCGUUGUUAAAUUUCUAUUGUUCUCUAAAUUAUUUGUAAUACAACGGAGCCUCAGUUAUCCGGACACUUUCGUUCUCAAGUCCAAUCGUCCAGAUAAGUGAAGCGUCCGGAUAUCUGAAAUGUGUCUAUUGUUGUCUUGAAUGAUAAUGUAUUUGUAUGUACAAUGGCUCCCAGUGUUGAUACUAGUUUUUUUUGCCUUUCAUACCAUAUAGCAACACAUGCUAGAGUUGUCUGUUGAUAUGAACGUUUUUAUAGAUAUAAAGAACUCUGCUUUAUUUUAUUAUUUUGUCAUGAAAUAUUAACCGGACAUUAAUGAUAACCGAAUCUAGCUAAAUUAUUUGUGUCCAAGUGUGAUAUGUGUAAGAUACACUGUUGUUCGCAAUUUUCCAAAUUUUGAAAGUGAUUUGGGAAGUCAGUGUGUUUAUACAAGCUACUCAUGAGGGUCUUGCACGUAAAAAAGGUGUGAAACUUAAUUGACAGGGGUAAUCUUUUGUACUGAGUAGGGUAUCAUCAAAUUUUACCGUCCGGUUAAAUGAAGCAAGAUUAGUAGUAAAUUAGUGUUUUGUGGUAAAAACAGACCGUCCAGAUCCGGAACGCGGAAUUCUGGAUAAAUGAGGCAAAAUAACAUAUAAAAAAUCUGUUCCCAAAUAAAAUCGUCCGUAAACUGAAGCGUCCGGUUAUCUGGCAUCCGGAUAUCUGAGGCCCCACUGUAUAUCUGUAUUUCAACCCAAACAUAUUAAGUGAAACGAUCAAAAAAUAGUUGCAGAAAAUAGCAAAAUGAACUUAUUUAAUUUGACUUCUUUUAUCAUUAGCUGUAAGUCUGCGGAAACUUAGAAAGAAGAUGUUCAGGUUUUUUUAAUCUCCAAGUUCAUACUGCGCCGGAUACCCCGACCACUGACUUGUUUAACUAAACAAACUAUUAAAUAUUCUUUUAAUAUUACUUGUUGAGGGUUCUUCAAUGUUUAUGCCAAUUUUCACCAAAAUUCAUCAUUUAGAAGGGGAAAUAUUCCAGCUGUCUCAAUAAUUUCUGAAAAACCCUUGUACAUACACCCCCUACCCACCUACCCAUGAUGAUCUUCCCCCCCUUUCCACACUUUGCUACUUCCUGUUUAAUUUUGGAUCUGUUGGGGAUUUACGUUAAGUGUCUUUAGACUUUUUAUUGUAGAGCUGAUAUCUUUUAGAUCUGUAGAAUUUAUAUUUUAAUUAUAGUUUUGUUUCAUUUAAAGUAAUUUUGCCCAAUUUUCUGUUGUUUUAGAUGAUGGACCACUCUACUUCUUUUGACAACAGGUGCCCCUACAGAUUCACAAAGUUCCAAUGUUGAAUGUCCAUGACCCUGGUUGAUCCGCGACAGGAAAAGGAAUAAAGUUGGCAGGAAUUUCCGCACUGUCUUUGGUAGCAGCUGAUGAUGGAACUGACAGCAGUUGACAUGGCCUGUUUCUUCAAAGAUGCACCAGAAGCAGCAGCACUAUCUCCAUCACUGGUGAAAUGGGAAAUGACAAGUGGACGGUCAUCACUUUGCAGCUCAACGAUGCAUUCCGCAGCCCAUCUCUUUUCAUCUUCUAUGGUGUUCUCAGGAGGAAUGGUUGC